RNAcentral lists this ribosomal RNA (447 nucleotides) under uncultured Pseudomonadota bacterium. RNAcentral describes it as "bacterial SSU rRNA". It matches the Rfam family "Bacterial small subunit ribosomal RNA", at positions 917 to 1359 of the family's 1533-position model. The record is from RNAcentral. Lineage: Bacteria; Pseudomonadati; Pseudomonadota.
GGACCCGCACAAGCGGUGGAUUAUGUGGUUUAAUUCGUCUCUACGCGCAGAACCUUACCAGCUCUUGACAUGCGCCUCGAUCGGGCGAGAAAUUGCCCGAGUCACCUCGGGUGGAGGCUGCACAGGUGUUGCAUGGCUGUCGUCAGCUCGUAUCGUGAGACGUUGGGUUAAGUCCCGCAACGAGCGCAACCCCCUCGGUGAUUUACCAGCAGGUAACGCUGGGUACGUGUCACGGAACUGCCGGUGACAAGCCGGAGGAAGGAGGGGAUGAUGUCAAGUCCUCAUGGCCCUUAUGGGCUGGGCUACACACGUAAUACAAUGGCUGCCACAGAGAGCUCCGAUGCGGCAACGCGGAGGGAAUCUCGAAAAGCAGUCCCAGUUCGGAUUGUCUUCUGCAACUCGAAGGCAUGAAGUUGGAAUCGCUAGUAAUCGCAGAACAGCAUGCUG